AUUUUUUCUAUUGGCAGAGGCAAACUGUGAUUCUAAGUAUGACACAGAGUCCUGAGAUGCAAUGAAGACAAUCUCCAUCAAUUCUCUCCUCAUAUCUUUUUCUAGACCCCUCAAUCCCCAGUCGACUUCUCUGUGCGAGGUCCAAGGGUCAGUGUCAGUGUAAGCGAUGAGAGUGGAGAAUGUGAGAGUCCUAAAUGUGGGCCUGCAGUAAAGGGAGAUGUGUUCCCAUCAUUCCAUGAGAAACUCUGAAGGAAGAUUCCUUGGGAGCACUGGCACACUUGGAGAUACUGUGCUAUUGGAGAGAAGAUUAUAUUGAAUGGAGUGUUCCUAAUGUCUGUAGUGAUGGAAUUCCAGACACACAAGUUAGUGAUCAGCUUUGUCUGUCUUCCUGUAGAUCUACUGUGCAUGAGUCCAAAUUUGAGGUACAGGAAACACAGGAGUCAACCAAACAGGCCAAGUCCCUGCUUUCAUGGAGACUAC
This 480-nucleotide long non-coding RNA is filed under the name Homo sapiens (human). RNAcentral describes it as "HSALNT0336874". The record is from RNAcentral. Lineage: Eukaryota; Metazoa; Chordata; Mammalia; Primates; Hominidae.